This is a long non-coding RNA of Arabidopsis thaliana (thale cress), 229 nucleotides long. RefSeq annotates it as other RNA. The record is from RefSeq. The transcript has a single exon. Lineage: Eukaryota; Viridiplantae; Streptophyta; Magnoliopsida; Brassicales; Brassicaceae.
AUGUGGUCACUGGUCAUAUGGACGAGAUAACGACCACGUUUGUAUCAUGCAUGGGACCAUUAUAAAUAUAAGAUUAGUUGAAAUAUUGUUUUCUCAACAACUCAUAUAUUUAUUAGAAAUUCAUCACAAAUUCUUCGCUCUCUGGAUGUGUACGUAUGUAUUUUUCCAUACCUACCAAACUUGAGAUCCCAUCUUGAUCAGCUAAAAUUUGUGGUUUUGAUUGGUCGAU